Drosophila montana is the source of this 478-nucleotide long non-coding RNA. RefSeq lists it as uncharacterized. The transcript has 3 exons. The record is from RefSeq and is a predicted model, not a curated record. Lineage: Eukaryota; Metazoa; Arthropoda; Insecta; Diptera; Drosophilidae.
AUUGUCAAAACUUCUAUAGAUAAUACACAAAAAUAUUUUAGAAUUCAGUACACUUCUAUAGUAUAACUUUAUUGAAAAAGAUGAAAAAUGUCAGCACCUUUUCAAUAUUAUUUUUUGGUUUUCUGCUGUGCAUUUCAAGCUGUGCAGGGGCAAAAAAUACAACAAAUAAUGAAUGCGUCAACUGCACCCAAUAUAGUGGCGAUUGUAAAAUGAACAGUACGGGAUGGGCUCCAUUUUGGAUGUCCCACGUGGACCAUCGCAUAGUUAGGAAACUACGCACCUAUACGGACGGGGAUCCACAUCUAGCUCGAUGCGUUAUUGAUGGUUAUGAGAUAACAGAUGAAAUAGAAACAUUUAUAUGCUUCUGGGCACCAUAUAUGGGCUGUCAGGCUGCUGCCAGUAAGGCUUACGUGAAUAUACAUCAUAUGCAUAAUAUAGUCUGUCAAGUAUGUGCCAGAUAUUGCAAAUGCAAGAAGCU